UGGCCUUGGAAAUCUUAUUAGGACAACAUAUGCCCUACUGGGUUUGAGAACAUACUUCACUCCUGGCGAGAAGGCAUGACUGCACCUCAAGCUGCUGGAGUUAUACAGUCUGAAAGGUUGCUUAUGAUGAUUUUGUUGCUGCUGGAUCAUUUGCAGCUGCAAGAGAGAAAGGACUUGUCUACACUUGAUCAAAGUCAUUGAAGAAGAAGGCUAUGGAUGGUGCAUUGAUCAAAGCUAUUGAAGUAGUGUCGCAUUUGAAGGCUUAUUAAUUUGGGUGCAGCGAGCACACUUAAGUAGUAUCAAUUAAGUAGUAUAUAUUUUCAUACUUAAGUAGUAUAUAUUUUUAUGACUUUUUU
Long non-coding RNA from Ipomoea nil (Japanese morning glory), 356 nucleotides. RefSeq lists it as uncharacterized. The record is from RefSeq and is a predicted model, not a curated record. NCBI's taxonomy places the organism in Eukaryota, Viridiplantae, Streptophyta, Magnoliopsida, Solanales, Convolvulaceae. The transcript is spliced from 4 exons.